UCAUGUGAACCUUACCUACUAAUAAUAACUACCACUAAUAUCUUUGUGUUGGAUGUAGUUAAGAUAGCAAUAUGGGGUAUUGUAUCUGCACUACCCAGCCUCAUCUGGUAACUAUGGCUGGCACCAUUUAUUCUCCGAUUUACAAAUCUUUAUUUUUGUGUAAUAGAUAUAUAAUUCAACUAAAAACGUGCUGCAAAUCAUAAUUUCUGAAUCAAUAUUUACUAUAUGGACAGGUAGUGAAUUUAAAAGCCAACUCUGGGGCUUCAAUUGUCUGGAGGUUGGUUUAGUGCAUUUAAAGCCAAACUACAAAAGAAGCAAUUGACAUAAAUAUCAGUGAGCCUUAGCAGCUAUCCCAACAGCAUUUACCUCCCAAGCAGCUCUAACUUUAAUGCCCAAUUUUAGGGUUAGGUUAUUUAACUCAACUCCACCUAUCGUGGAGAUACGUGUCUUGGACAUUGGGCGGAAAUAAACAAAAUCAUAAGCAGAGGAGAGGCGCAAGGCGUAAUUGGAGUAGGGCAUGUUGUGAGAGAGAAGAGAUUCAUGAGCUCAACUUUACACAUCUCUGAAAAGCAAGGAACUGGGU
Molecule: long non-coding RNA, 583 nt
Organism: Gossypium arboreum
Lineage: Eukaryota; Viridiplantae; Streptophyta; Magnoliopsida; Malvales; Malvaceae
Exons: 2
Source: RefSeq, a predicted model, not a curated record